Non-coding RNA from Meloidogyne enterolobii, 71 nucleotides. Lineage: Eukaryota; Metazoa; Nematoda; Chromadorea; Rhabditida; Meloidogynidae. The record is from the annotation of a GenBank genome assembly.
GGCGGCGUGGUGUAAUGGCUAACACAUCAUCCGGUCUACUGAAGAUGCUGGUUCGCUCCCAGCCGCCGAAU